This 253-nucleotide ribosomal RNA is filed under the name uncultured bacterium. RNAcentral describes it as "partial 16S ribosomal RNA". It matches the Rfam family "Bacterial small subunit ribosomal RNA", at positions 524 to 776 of the family's 1533-position model. The record is from RNAcentral.
GACGUAGGCUGCAAGCGUUAUCCGGAAUUAUUGGGCGUAAAGAGUUCGUAGGUGGUCUGUUAAGUUGGAUGUCAAAGCCAUGAGCUCAACUCAUGACAGGUGUCCAAAACUGGCAGGCUAGAGACAGGUAGAGGUAAGUAGAAUUCUGUAUGUAGGGGUAAUAUCCGUAGAUAUACAGAGGAAUACCAAAAGCGAAGGCAGCUUACUGGACCUGUUCUGACGCUCAAGAACGAAAGCGUGGGUAGCAAACGGG